Molecule: ribosomal RNA, 403 nt
Filed under: bacterium
Lineage: Bacteria
Also listed under: 2 other names
Description: partial 16S ribosomal RNA
Rfam family: Bacterial small subunit ribosomal RNA
Source: RNAcentral
UGGGGAAUAUUGCACAAUGGAGGGAACUCUGAUGCAGCGACGCCGCGUGAACGAAGAAGGCUUUCGAGUCGUAAAGUUCUUUUAUAUGGGAAGAUAAUGACGGUACCAUAAGAAAAGGCCCCGGCUAACUACGUGCCAGCAGCCGCGGUAAUACGUAGGGGGCUAGCGUUGUCCGGAAUCACUGGGCGUAAAGGGUUCGCAGGCGGAAAUGCAAGUCAGGUGUAAAAGGCAGUAGCUUAACUACUGUAAGCAUUUGAAACUGCAUAUCUUGAGAAGAGUAGAGGUAAGUGGAAUUUUUAGUGUAGCGGUGAAAUGCGUAGAUAUUAAAAAGAAUACCGGUGGCGAAGGCGACUUACUGGGCUCAUUCUGACGCUGAGGAACGAAAGCGUGGGUAGCAAACAGG